RNAcentral lists this unclassified non-coding RNA (433 nucleotides) under soil metagenome. RNAcentral describes it as "partial contains 5.8S ribosomal RNA, internal transcribed spacer 2, and large subunit ribosomal RNA". The stretch from base 1 to 120 matches the Rfam family "5.8S ribosomal RNA", at positions 35 to 154 of the family's 154-position model. The record is from RNAcentral.
GAUGAAGAACGCAGCGAAAUGCGAUACGUAAUGUGAAUUGCAGAAUUCAGUGAAUCAUCGUAUCUUUGAACGCAUAUUGCGCUCUCUGGUAUUCCGGAGAGCAUGCUUGUUUGAGUAUCAGUAAACACCUCAACUUCCAUAUCUUUUUUGAAAUGGGAGUUGGACUUGAGUGAUCCCAACGCUUUUCCUCACCGAAAAGUGGCGGGUUACUUGAAAUGCAGGUGCAGCUGGACUUUUCUCUGAGCUAUAAGCAUAUCUAUUUAGUCUGCCUAAAAAACAGAUUAUUACCUUUGCUGCAGCUAACAUAAAGGAGAUUAGUUCUUGUGCUGACUGAUGCAGGAUUCACAAAGACAGGCUUCGGCCGACUUUGUAAACUCGAUCUCAAAUCAAGUAAGACUACCCGCUGAACUUAAGCAUAUCAAUAAGCGGAGGA